Molecule: RNA transcript, 4312 nt
Organism: Myxocyprinus asiaticus (Chinese sucker)
Lineage: Eukaryota; Metazoa; Chordata; Actinopteri; Cypriniformes; Catostomidae
Gene: kcmf1
Gene name: potassium channel modulatory factor 1
Exons: 8
Source: RefSeq, a predicted model, not a curated record
CCGCGACCGCACUUGCUCCGUCACACACACAGGCGCUUAAUGACAGACGGGGAGGGGGAAGCGUAGAGAAGUGUGCCCCGGAUCCAUCUUCAAGACAGAAAACAGGGAAAGAAAGACCGCGUCCCACUUCUAUUUCAUUUUUAGCGGCAUCUUUCCCACUCACAGGCGUCAGGGAGCCCGAGGAGGGGGCUGUGUCAUUGUCUGUAGGAUGUCCCGACAUGAAGGUGUGAGCUGUGAUGCGUGUUUAAAAGGGAACUUCAGAGGGCGCCGAUACAAGUGUUUAAUUUGUUACGACUACGACCUUUGUGCAUCUUGCUACGAAAGUGGAGCAACAACAACUAGACAUACCACGGAGCACCCAAUGCAGUGCAUACUAACCAGGGUAGACUUUGACUUGUAUUAUGGGGGAGAGGCGUUCUCAGUAGAGCAGCCUCAGUCAUUUACUUGUCCUUACUGUGGUAAAAUGGGCUACACAGAAACAUCUCUACAGGAGCACGUCACCUCAGAGCAUGCAGAGACCUCUACAGAAGUGAUUUGCCCAAUCUGUGCAGCUUUGCCUGGUGGCGACCCCAAUCAUGUGACAGAUGACUUUGCUGCUCAUCUCACACUUGAACACAGAGCACCUAGAGAUUUAGAUGAGAGCAGUGGCGUGCGGCACGUGCGCCGGAUGUUCCACCCCGGGCGGGGGCUGGGUGGUCCGCGGGCACGCAGGACAAACAUGCACUUUACCAGCAGCUCUACCGGUGGUCUCUCCUCUUCACAAAGCUCCUCCUACUCACCAAGCAAUAGGGAAGCAAUGGACCCCAUAGCAGAGUUGCUCUCUCAGCUGUCGGGUGUGCGUCGCUCGGCAGGAGGACAGCUCAACUCUUCAGGCCCCUCGGCCUCUCAGCUGCAGCAACUGCAGAUGCAGCUUCAGCUGGAGCGCCAGCAGGCUCAGGCGGCGCGUCAGCAGCUGGAGACAGCUCGCAACACCACGCGCCAGCGCAGCAACCCUAGCAACAUCAGCGCCAGCAUCCCGCCACCCAGCACCACCACAAACACAGCCAUGACUGAGAGCAACCCACUGGCCUUGCACAGCUCCCAGUUCCUUCUCACACGGUUGAACGAACCGAAAAUGUCGGAGGCGGAACGACAGGCGCUGGAGAGCGAGCGCGCCGACCGCAGCCUGUUCGUGCAGGAGCUGCUGCUGUCCACGCUAAUGCGAGAGGAGAGCUCAUCCUCCGACGAGGACGAAAGGCGAGACUUUGCUGACUUCGGCGCCAUGGGCUGCGUGGACAUCAUGCCUUUAGACGUGGCUCUGGAGAGCCUCAACCUGAAGGAGAGCUCCACAGGCAAAGAGCCUCCGCCACCACCUCUUUGAUGAUAUCCCACCACCACGCAGACAAUGUCCUCUGUGCUGUAACUGCCAAUGACGCAGGUGAGCGUAGGUAUCUGUGGCAGACCUCAGCUUCCUGUGUCUUGCAAAGAGGCUCUCCUUAUAAAUACUCCACAUUCAAAAACUGAAGGGGAAACCAGAGACCUUCUCUAAUGAAGCUGCUGUGUGUAUUUAUGAAUAUUAAUGAAUAAAAAGUGCUUGGAUGGUUUACCAUAACUACUGCAUGAGGUUAUUUGCAGCGUGCAUGAUUUUUAAUGACCUUGUCAUUAAAAAGGCAAAAAUAUCCCAAAGCUUUCUUUAACUUUUUCUUUUCAAGGGUUACUUGAACAGAAAUGGGUUGUCGAGUGAAAUAUCUCAAAUUUUAGGAUUUUUUUUAGUUUAUUUUUUGUUAAAUACGGAGAUCAAAAGCAAAAUUGGAAGAAGAAAAAAAACAGCAAUCCGCUUUUUUGUCCCUCCUCAUCUGCGACACUAUAGGAUGUUCAAACAAAUGGUCUGCCCUGAUUUGCCGAGGCAAAUGAACUCAAAGCAGUGGUUCUCAACUGGUGAGUCACAGGUCGGUUCUGAAAGGGUAGAAAAAUUUGAAAUGCUUAAAAUAAACUGCAACUAACCAUAUAAUUGUGCAUUGUUAGGAUAGCAAAAUAAAUGCACUUAGCAACACUAUUAUAAGGUAGGAGAAAACCAUUCCCAUAUCUUUUGUUGCUGCUGUCAAAUGGCUUGUGUCCGGGUCAGGUUUUUUUGUUUUUCAUAUUUAGGCAGUAUGUUAGCCUCAGUCACCAUUAACUUUCAUUGCAUUUGUUUUUUUUCUUCGAUACAAAGAAAGCAAAUGGUGACUGAGGCUAACAUACUGCCUAGCAUUUCUUUUUGUGUUUCACAGAAGAAAGUCACAGAUUUGUAACAAUAAUAAUGGUACACAAUUUCUUAGAGGACAGUGAAGGAAUUUUAUUUUCUGAAAUAGUUUUGCGUUCCCUCCCAGAAAGUUUAGCAUUCCCUCGCAAUUAUUUUGGGUUCCCUCGCAAUACUUUUAUCCAUUCCUUAUGAAAAUAUAGUUGAACUGUGGUAUUUGUAGUAAAACCAUAGUAAACACAAAAUUGACCAUUGUUUUACUACAGUAACUAUAGUUGUACUAUGGUAUUUAUAGUAAAAUCACAAUAACCACAACAUUUACUACAGUUUUACAACAGUUAAUAUAGUUGAACUGUGGUAUUUAUAGUAAAAACAUUAUAACCACAAAAUCUAUCAUGGUUUUACUACAUUAACUGUUUAAAUAUGGAAUUUAUAUUUCAACCAUAAUAAUCACAAUAUUUACCAUGGUUUUACAACAGUAGCUAUUGUUCAACUGUUAUUUAUAAUCAAACCAUAAUAACCACAAAAUGUAACAUGGUUUUACUACAGUAACUAUAGUUGUACUAUGGUAAAGUAAAACCAUAAUUGUUGUAAAAUGUACUAUGGUUUUACUACAGUAGAAAUUGUUCAAUGGUGGUAUUUUUAUUAAAACCAUAAUAAAAACAUUUACAUUGGUUUUAAUAAAGUAACUAAAGUUGAACUAUUUUAUUUAAAGUAAAACCAUAACCACAACAUUUUUCAUGGUUUUACUAAAGUAGCUAUUGUUCAACUAUGGUAUUUAUAGUAAAAUCACAAUAACCACACAAUUUACUAUGGUUUUACUACAGUAACUAUACUUGAACCAUGGUAUUUAAAGUAAAACCAUAGUUAACACAAAAUUUACUAUGGUAUUGCUGCAGUAGCUAUUGUUCAACUAUUGUUCUACGACAUUAUAUUUCCAGCAUGAUAUUCAUGGUAAAAUCUAGUAAUAAUACAGGAAAACCAAAAUUAUGGUAAUUCUAAAACUCAUUCUGCCAAAAAAUAAAUAAAUAAAUACAAAAUUACUAUAGUAACACCAUGGCUAAUUUGUGGUACAUGUACCAUGUGUUUUAAAACCAUGGUUCUAACCACAAAAAUGUUUAAUGCAGGUUUUCUAUAGUGAAACAGUGGUUGUUUUGGUUUUCCUCUGUUAUUAAUAUGGUUUUACUCGAUAUAUCCUAGUUCAGCUAUGGUUACUGUAGUAAAACCAUGGUUAAUUUUUGUAAAGGGUGGAUAGCUAUUGCAAGAGAACCCAAAAUAAUUUCGAGGGAAUGCAAAACUAUUGCCUGGGAUCAGAAAACGUAUUGCAAGGGAAUGCAAAAUAAAGGGUGAGUAAAUAAUGACAGAAUUUUCAUGUUUGGGUGAACUGUUCCUUUAAAUAUAGGUGAUGUUAUGGUACUGUGUUGGUUUGACAAUAUAAAUAUACAUAUGGGUCCUGAAGCAAAUCCAGUUGAGAAGCACUGCCUUAAAGAAUGUUUUGUUGCCUACGAGAAUAAAAACAAAGAAUAUACAGGUGUCGACAAAAAGAUUUAUACCGUUUUAACUAGGCGUUGAUGUCUUAGUGUCUGUGUAACCACCAGAUGUACUCUCAAACAGUAACUUAUGCACCUGUACAGACAAGUUAGACUUUCCAUUUUCAUUUUGCUCUACUCUUCACAUAUCUGCUUUUAGCGUGCUUGGAAAGCCCUCUUUUCCGCCAGCUUCCUCUCUCUUUGUUGGUAAAGGAGGGCGCAAGACUUGCCACAUUUGCAGUUUUUUGUUCAACUUUUCAAAAGAGUGACAUGCUAAACUCCUCGCUCAUAGACAGCACCUUCUAUUUAUUCAGGGUUUUUUUUUUUUUUUUUUUUUGUCUCUCUCUAUGAUUCUUUAAAGCCUUGUGAUUGAUCAUGCCACCUCCAUGCCUAUACUCUUUUUCUCUAUGUAAAAUACAAUGAGAUGUAUAUGGAAUUUGUGCGUUAACUUUCAUAAUGGAUCUAGGACAUGGGCAUACUUUCUUUUUUUUAAUGUAAAUUUAGAAUACUACAAUAAAAACAUUGCACAGCUUUUGAUGAAAACCAAACCCCAUCCUCUUACUCU